UACGUAGGGUCCCAAGCAUUAUCCGGAUUUAUUGGGCGUAAAGCACAUGUAGGUGGUUAUGUCAGUCGCUGCUUAAAUCUCUGGGCUCAACCCAGAUCCUGGCAGCGAGACGGCAUGACUAGUGGUCGGCAGGGGUGAACGGAAUUCUCGGUGUAGGAGUGAAAUGCGUAGAUAUUGGAAGGAACACCAGUGGCGUAAGCGGCUGUCUGGACGAGUAUUGACGCUGAGGCACGAAAGCGUGGGGAUCAAACAGGAUUAGAUACCCUAGUAGU
RNAcentral lists this ribosomal RNA (272 nucleotides) under uncultured bacterium. RNAcentral's name for it is "partial 16S ribosomal RNA". It matches the Rfam family "Bacterial small subunit ribosomal RNA", at positions 524 to 794 of the family's 1533-position model. The record is from RNAcentral.